ACAUCUUUAAUAUUUAUGAAUAAUUCAACAAACAAAUUAUACAACAGAUUAAAAUAUAGACAUGACACAUGGAGGGAAUAACCACAAAGAUAAAAGUAUUGACACAUGUCUAUAUGUUCAAUAAUUAUUUUAUUUAUUAAUUUUUAAUAUCUAUAACUUACGAUAAAAAUUAUCCCCAAUUGAAGUUUAAACAUGUCUUAAACAAAAAUGAAGGGUUAAAUUUGAGAAGAAAGCAUAUUUUGAAGCUAUCAACACAGCAUAUGGCUAACAUCUGUCUAAUGAAAACUGAAAACAAACACUAAGCUUGAGAAUGUCAAAAGACGGAGUGAGAGGUUUUGAGACUCGCAAACAUCGUUCACUUCUCUACUUUUUUCUCUAUCUCUUAUUAGAUUGCAGGAAAAAAUGGGUGCAUCUGCUCUAUUCUGUCAUUUUUCAGCAGCUUUAUGUGCGAAUCUUCAAGAAACAAUAACAGUUAACUCUCCUGCAGGAGCUAAAGAUAGAUCAGUAACAGAUGGGCUCAUAAAACCCACUUAAAAUUUGGUAGAAGAAGAUUUAUCCUCGCAUGAACAAACAUUACCGCCACAAUCGUAAUUCCUCUUGCUUCUGGUACUGGUAGGACCUCCUCUGUGUCUGUGGUUUUUCUGAUUUCGAAUUAUUAUUAAUUUGUAACCGUACUUUGAAUUAAAAUUUUCAUAGUUUACUUUAUGACCUUUAAUCCCAAUUUAAUUUGUGCUUUGCUCCUCUCCUCAUUCAUGCGAUUUGUUUUAAUCCUUUACGCAAGAUUGUAAAAAGAAAUUUGCUUCUCCUGGAGUUUGAAGCUCACUGACAAGGCGAGUCUCUACCUUGCAUGUUCCUUUUUCUUUCUUUUUUUUUUAAUUUCUCUUUAAUUGUUUUAACAAAGGUUAGCAAACUCCAUUUUUGUCGUUGAAGAACUCUGGUAAGUUUAUAAAAUUUUUAUCUUUGUCUUUUUUUUUCUCCUUUUUACAUUAUUUAAAAUUGUAAAUUUCUUUGGUGAUAGUAAUUAUUAUUUUUUAAGGUGACUGGUUUUAGAUUAUGCAAGGCUUAAUCACAGCACUAUUUCGUUUUUCAAUUAUUUGAAACCAGAAACUGCUAUUCCAAGGUGGAGUCGUGUUUGCUUAAAUGCUUCUAAGAUUGUGAAGGAAUUGUCCGAAGACACCAAAGCACAAAAAUUGGCUUUUCAACAUUGGAUUGAAGCUAUAAUUUAACAAUUAUGUUGGGUUAUGAGAUCCGUUCUACUAUUGUCCAUGAGCAAAUGCUUCAAACCUUGAAAGAUAUCUUUGCAGUGAAGAUUGUUCCGGAGGCCAAGGUAUGCAUGUUAUAUACUUUUCAAAUGUGAAAAGGAAGGCCUCUAACAUUUGUUAUAUGUUGUGCCUUCUUAUCAACUCAUAGACUGGAAUAAGUACACUGAACAUUCUUGGAUUUUAACUUUGUUAUGGAAUCGCUGAUAAUCAACUGUCCAACUCUAUUGUAGUUGUGUGAGAAAAAGGUCGAUAUUGUUACUAUAUUACUUUCAAAUAGUUAAAACUAAUUUUUUUUUUAAAUACUAAGAGAAAAUUUUUUAAGUAAAUAAAAGAAAACCAAGAGAGAAGAAAAUGAUGUAUUAUAGUUUUAGUCAUACUUAACUUGGAUUCAAAUAAAUAUGAGAUGUGGGAAAAGUGAAAAAGGAAGAAAAUUAGAAAAUGCUUUGGCUUUGGUCAGAGAGAGAUUUCUUGUUUGGAUAUUUCAAAAAUAAGUGUGGAAAACAAUGAAAA
Durio zibethinus is the source of this 1772-nucleotide non-coding RNA. The record is from RefSeq and is a predicted model, not a curated record. Lineage: Eukaryota; Viridiplantae; Streptophyta; Magnoliopsida; Malvales; Malvaceae.